RNAcentral lists this ribosomal RNA (482 nucleotides) under Enterobacter hormaechei. RNAcentral's name for it is "bacterial SSU rRNA". It matches the Rfam family "Bacterial small subunit ribosomal RNA", at positions 30 to 498 of the family's 1533-position model. Lineage: Bacteria; Pseudomonadati; Pseudomonadota; Gammaproteobacteria; Enterobacterales; Enterobacteriaceae. The record is from RNAcentral.
AUUGAACCCUGGCGGCAGGCCUAACACAUGCAAGUCGAACGGUAACAGGAAGCAGCUUGCUGCUUGCUGACGAGUGGCGGACGGGUGAGUAAUGUCUGGGAAACUGCCUGAUGGAGGGGGAUAACUACUGGAAACGGUAGCUAAUACCGCAUAACGUCGCAAGACCAAAGAGGGGGACCUUCGGGCCUCUUGCCAUCGGAUGUGCCCAGAUGGGAUUAGCUAGUAGGUGGGGUAACGGCUCACCUAGGCGACGAUCCCUAGCUGGUCUGAGAGGAUGACCAGCCACACUGGAACUGAGACACGGUCCAGACUCCUACGGGAGGCAGCAGUGGGGAAUAUUGCACAAUGGGCGCAAGCCUGAUGCAGCCAUGCCGCGUGUAUGAAGAAGGCCUUUCGGGUUGUAAAGUACUUUUCAGCGGGGAGGAAGGCGAUAAGGUUAAUAACCUUGUCGAUUGACGUUACCCGCGAAGAUCACCGCUACA